Long non-coding RNA from Betta splendens (Siamese fighting fish), 745 nucleotides. RefSeq lists it as uncharacterized. The record is from RefSeq and is a predicted model, not a curated record. Lineage: Eukaryota; Metazoa; Chordata; Actinopteri; Anabantiformes; Osphronemidae. The transcript is spliced from 4 exons.
CUUGCGUUUCUUAUUUUCGCUCUAAACACGAUAAUUACUGUAUGUCUGGCAGCACUGAUACAUGCUGGCAAGCAGAGGCAGAGAAGCAUCUCCUACAACUGCAGGACUUCCUUUGGUUAAACAAAUUCUGUCACUGCUCUUUACGUUUGUUUAGGUUUGUUCCAUGUACUCUAAUUUAAACUAUUGGUUGAUUACUAUUUUUGUUUCAGGUGCCCCAACCAACCUUCUUAUCAAGCCUCUCUUCCACCGCUACCACCUCUUAGCGAGCCUCUGGUGGGACGGGUUCAUCCUCUGUGCUGAGACUUAAUUAUGAUAUGCCACAGCAACGUCAGCCCCAAGUAUUGGCUGAGGUGGAGUCAACUUUAGCAGCAGUGAUGCAGCAUCAUAAUGCACAAUCUAACCUAAGCCAUGCAGAUGUUGGAUUAUUUGUUGCACAUGCAGCCCAGCUCCAGUCAUUCUGUGAAGAUGUCAUGUUCAUUAACUCUGAUCACUGAAAUCACACUUCUGCUGUGGACCCGUUUUUGUGGGGAGUACCAAGAUCAUAAGGCGCAUAAACCAACCUCUUGUUAAGCCAACACCUCCGUCUCCUGCAGAGGAGCUCCGCAAUGGGGAAAUCUACAGGUCAGCAGGAAAGCAAAAGAGACUGCGCCCUACAGAACCUUGCAGCGCAGAUGAAGGCACUCCCUAAAGUUGUGGGCUGUGAGCUGUGUGGUGGAAAUUUUGCAAUAAAGGCAGAUGAGAGAGA